Molecule: long non-coding RNA, 306 nt
Filed under: Elaeis guineensis (African oil palm)
Lineage: Eukaryota; Viridiplantae; Streptophyta; Magnoliopsida; Arecales; Arecaceae
Description: long non-coding RNA (EGUI_LNC051694)
Source: RNAcentral
CAUCGUAGAGAUUUGAUUCAUAGAUCUAGAAAGAAAAGGAGAGGAUCUCUUUGUUCUUUGUCUUCUUCAUGUUCUUCUUAGAUUAGCCCACAAUAUGGUGUCUUUAUGAGCUAGCACUUUCAGAGAGAUCGAUCAGCAUAAGAGCUUCAUGUGGAUAUCCAUAGAGAUCGGAUAUAUGUACGGCUGCUGAACAUCAUGAAGAACCAACUAUCAUGAAUUUUGGAUGCGGUGAUCUGCUACUGGUACUCAGGUAUGGAGUUUUGAAUUCAAUUUAUAAUUCAAAUAUGAUCUGAUUUGAUAUAGAUA